RNAcentral lists this ribosomal RNA (291 nucleotides) under uncultured eukaryote. RNAcentral's name for it is "partial 18S rRNA". It matches the Rfam family "Eukaryotic small subunit ribosomal RNA", at positions 111 to 414 of the family's 1831-position model. The record is from RNAcentral.
AAUAGCUUCUUUGGUGGUGACCUACUACAUGGAUAACCGUAGUAAUUCUAGAGCUAAUACAUGCGUAAAUCUCGACUCACGAAGAGACGUAUUUAUUAGAUAAAGACCGACCUCGUUCUGCGGUGAAUCAUAAUAACUUCACGGACCGCAUGGCUUUAUGCCGGCGGUGUUCCAUUCAAAUUUCUGCCCUAUCAACUUUCGACGGUAGGAUAGAGGCCUACCGUGGUGUUCACGGGUGACGGAGAAUUAGGGUUCGAUUCCGGAGAGGGAACCUGAGAAACGGCUACCACA